Molecule: long non-coding RNA, 183 nt
Filed under: Canis lupus familiaris (dog)
Lineage: Eukaryota; Metazoa; Chordata; Mammalia; Carnivora; Canidae
Description: lncRNA (ENSCAFG00030003292.1)
Source: RNAcentral
CGUUACACCCUUUCUUGACAAAACCUAACUUGCGCAGAAACCGAGAUGAGAUUGGCAUGGCUUUAUUUGUUUUUGUUUUUUUUUUUUUAAUUUUUGUUUUUGAUUUUUUAAUGUAUGAGAUGGUUUUACCCUUCAAAUAAUAAUACUCAAUAUAAAAGGAUUUAAAUUUAUGCCAAGAAGGUG